This 253-nucleotide ribosomal RNA is filed under the name uncultured bacterium. Its description in RNAcentral is "partial 16S ribosomal RNA". It matches the Rfam family "Bacterial small subunit ribosomal RNA", at positions 524 to 776 of the family's 1533-position model. The record is from RNAcentral.
UACAGAGGUCCCAAGCGUUGUUCGGAUUCAUUGGGCGUAAAGGGUGCGUAGGCGGCGCGGUAAGUCGGGUGUGAAAUCUCGGAGCUUAACUCCGAAACUGCAUUCGAUACUGCCGUGCUUGAGGACUGGAGAGGAGACUGGAAUUUACGGUGUAGCGGUGAAAUGCGUAGAUAUCAGGAGGAACACCGAUGGCGAAGGCAGGUCUCUGGGCUGACACUGACGCUCAUGCACGAAAGCGUGGGGAGCAAACAGG